Molecule: ribosomal RNA, 254 nt
Filed under: uncultured bacterium
Lineage: Bacteria
Description: partial 16S ribosomal RNA
Rfam family: Bacterial small subunit ribosomal RNA
Source: RNAcentral
UACGAGUGCCUCAAGCGUUAUCCGGAAUUAUUGGGCGUAAAGGGUGUGUAGGUGGUUUUGUUAGUCUUCUGUUAAAUUUCUCGGCUUAACCGAGAACUUGCAGGGGAAACGGCAAGACUUAGAGUAUGCGAGGGGUCUGUGGAACUCAUGGUGUAGCAGUGAAAUGCGUUGAUAUCAUGGGGAACACCAAAAGCGAAGGCAGCAGACUGGAGCAUUACUGACACUGAAACACGAAAGCGUGGGUAGCGAAUGGG